AGAAAGAGGAAGGGGGAGGAGCGUACAAGCGAAGAGCGGAAUGGGGGGAGGAGAGAGCGGUGACGCGCAAGCGCCUGUAUCUCAAAAGCUGUAUGUCUUGCUAAGCUCUUGGUUCCCAACGUCGUAUAGUCCAAUUAGUACAAAUAGCGAGGGAUUGGGACAGGUUUUAGUGUAGGGGAAAAGAAGAUGUUUGCUGAGGGGGCUCCUUGGUCGGAAAAGGCACAUAACACACAUAACAUACUGUUUUCCCUCCUUUCACACUCUUAUUUUGGGUGGCUUCGCCUGUAAAUAGUGCAUAGCCCUGAUUUUAAACUUUACAGAGAUUUUAAAGGAGAAGCAAACCCAAAAGUUAAAAAACCCCUCCCCUACAUAGACCCCGCUCCCUCCAGCCUAAGUGUUACCCGGGCAAAUGCCCUUAACUCUUUACUUACCCCUCCGUGCAGAUUCAGGCUUUGGAGUUCACGGGCGACGUCUUCAGCUGCUUCAGUAAUCUUCAUAAUUUUCGCAAGUUUCGACGCAUGUACAGUUGUCGCUAAACAGAAAAUUGCUCAGGCGGUCUCAUUCCGAAGAUUACCGAAGAGAAGAAGAUGGCGCCCGUGAACUCCGCUGUACACAAUAUGCGCGGAGGGGACGCUGCAAUGAAGUGUUAAACCUUGUUCCCCUGGUGACUUGCAUUAAAUGGCGCAGCUUGACUUCACUCCAGCUUGGCUUAAUUUUCCUACACCUCCAUCCUCCUCUAAGUCAUUUCUGUAUACCGAGAAGUAUUCUGAAAGUUUAGGAAGGUCCGACUGUGCUUUCAAUGUAAACAGACAACGUCAUAAUUCCACAGAAGCCUUUGACUCUUCCACUGGUCGCCCUCUUGGUGGGAACCUUACAAGUAGAGAAAAAAAAUUUCCGGCGCCCCCAGAGCAGGACUGGAGCAGAACCCAUGUGGCAGCAUGAGGCCAGCCCCAUUUUUAUAGUAGCCACUUCCAGCGUAUGAAUAGCCAGCUGCACAGUGAGAGCGACACUUUUUUGACCUGACAAGAAAAGAGAAUUGUCAAGACUGGAAGAAGUUUGAAGCUAAAGAUUUUGAGAAACCUGGCGAAAAAUGAAGAUACUUUCUGUCUACAUUGGCACAGAUUCAUAAAUUUCUCAUUAACAGGAAGAGUGUAAAUCAAAAGAAAACCACAUUGUCAGCAGUUUUUAUCAAGACUGUCCUCAUGAAAAUUAUAUACCAAAUACAUGCAGAACUGCUGUCUGUGGCUUCAUGAAAGAGGAGGAGGAAACCAACUUGAACAACCAAAAUGACUCUGAAAGGGAUAUUAUAAAUCUGAAAUCUGUGAGGAUAAUAGGAACACCCUGAUUUCAAGACAGAUCUCUUCUGCUUAUACCCAAGACGAUAUCCUUUCUAGCUCACUUGAAGCAGAGCUCAGGAGAUUCCCUGUAAAACUUUGAGCUUUCCGUUUUUCCUUACGGCUGUUGAGAGAAAUGGGUUGGCAAGAGGAUAGUGAAAAUGAUGAGACCUGUGCUCCGCUAACAGAAGAUGAAAUGAGGGGAUUCCAAGCCAUCAGUGACCAGCUGCAAAAGAAUAGCUUCCGGGUAUUCCUGAGAAAUGCACUUGCUUUCGAUCUCUUCCAAGAAGUGGUUGAGAAAGAAAACUCCGAAACCAGCAGCAGCUACACCUCUGAUGAUGAGUAAAAUAUUUGUAAUUGUAGUGCAAACCGUCUCAUGACCUUUUCUACUACUAGCAAACUGGGAUCCCAUAAGCAUUCCCCUGAGCGGAAUAGUGUACUGAAUUCUUCACUUGCACCACCACAGGACAUUAUCCUGACAUGCACGCUCAUAAAAAAACAGUUGGUUGGCCAAGUGAAAGGAGCUUUCUCUCUGUUUAACACAGUUUCUGUUACAAAAUGUCUUGGAAACAAACAAAAAAGGCACUUUAUUUUCUUUUAUCUAGUUAUAUUUUCUAGCAGGCGCUGUAUUGGGCAACGGUUCCUUUGUGUUUUUGCCUGGUGUUUUUGGAAAUGUGACGGAUUUAAAAGUUCGAUUUGUUUUCAGUUUUCACAUAGACAUUCACAGUUAAUGUUUAAUGUGUGCUGCAAGCAAGAGGCCAGGUUUGUGGUUACGGGGUAAACUCCAUUCAAAAUAUACCUAUUUUGAUAUUUAA
Long non-coding RNA from Xenopus laevis (African clawed frog), 2149 nucleotides. RefSeq lists it as uncharacterized. The transcript has 8 exons. The record is from RefSeq and is a predicted model, not a curated record. Lineage: Eukaryota; Metazoa; Chordata; Amphibia; Anura; Pipidae.